AGUGGCGUACGGGUGAGUAACAUUUGAAUCAUCUGCCCUUUAGUGGGGAAUAACCCUGGGAAACCGGGGCUAAUACCGCAUAAGCCUGAGAAGGGAAAGCAGCAAUGCGCUGAAGGAGGAGUCCGCGGCCGAUUAGCUAGUUGGUAGGGUAAUGGCCUACCAAGGCAAUGAUCGGUAGCCGGCCUGAGAGGGCACACGGCCACACUGGCACUGAAACACGGGCCAGACUCCUACGGGAGGCAGCAGUGGGGAAUCUUGCACAAUGGAGGAAACUCUGAUGCACCGACGCCGCGUGAGCGAUGAACCCCUUCGGGGUGUAAAGCUCUUUCGACGGGAACGAUAAUGACGGUACCCGGAAAAAAAGCUGCGGCUAACUACGUGCCACCACCCGCGGUAAUACGUAGGCGCAAGCGUUGUUCGGAAUUUCUUGGGCGUAAAAGAGGGGGUAGGGGGUUCCCUAAUUUCGGGGGGGAAAUCCCCUGGCUCAACUUGGGAGGGUGCGCCGGA
This 507-nucleotide ribosomal RNA is filed under the name uncultured bacterium. Its description in RNAcentral is "bacterial SSU rRNA". It matches the Rfam family "Bacterial small subunit ribosomal RNA", at positions 94 to 630 of the family's 1533-position model. The record is from RNAcentral.